UGGGGAAUUUUGCACAAUGGGGGAAACCCUGAUGCAGCGACGCCGCGUGAUUUAGAAGGCCUUCGGGUUGUAAAAAUCUUUUCUAUGGGAAGAAAAUGACAGUACCAUAGGAAUAAGGACCGGCUACUUACGUGCCAGCAGCCGCGGUAAUACGUAAGGUCCGAGCGUUGUCCGGAAUCAUUGGGCGUAAAGGGUACGUAGGCGGGUAAGCAAGUUAGAAGUGAAAUCCUAUAGCUCAACUAUAGUAAGCUUUUAAAACUGCUCAUCUUGAGGGAUGGAAGGGAAAGUGGAAUUCCUAGUGUAGCGGUGAAAUGCGCAGAUAUUAGGAGGAAUACCGGUGGCGAAGGCGACUUUCUGGCCAUAACCUGACGCUGAGGUACGAAAGCGUGGGUAGCAAACAGG
RNAcentral lists this ribosomal RNA (402 nucleotides) under bacterium. RNAcentral's name for it is "partial 16S ribosomal RNA". It matches the Rfam family "Bacterial small subunit ribosomal RNA", at positions 355 to 776 of the family's 1533-position model. The record is from RNAcentral.